GUGGGGAAUAUUGGGCAAUGGGGGAAACCCUGACCCAGCGACGCCGCGUGAGGGAAGAAGGCCUUAGGGUCGUAAACCUCUGUUGUGUGGGAAGAAGAGCGUGACGGUACCACACGAGGAAGUCCCGGCUAACUACGUGCCAGCAGCCGCGGUAAUACGUAGGGGACGAGCGUUGUCCGGAUUUACUGGGCGUAAAGGGCGCGUAGGCGGUCAUUUAAGUCAGCUGUGAAAUGGUUUGGCUUAACCGGAUCAUGCGGUUGAAACUGGAUGACUGGAGUGCUGGAGAGGCAAGUGGAAUUCCCAGUGUAGCGGUGAAAUGCGUAGAUAUUGGGAAGAACACCGGUGGCGAAGGCGACUUUCUGGACGAUGUCUGACGCUGAGGCGCGAAAGCUAGGGGAGCGAACGGGAUUAGAAACCCUGGUAGUCC
RNAcentral lists this ribosomal RNA (427 nucleotides) under uncultured bacterium. Its description in RNAcentral is "partial 16S ribosomal RNA". It matches the Rfam family "Bacterial small subunit ribosomal RNA", at positions 354 to 796 of the family's 1533-position model. The record is from RNAcentral.